RNAcentral lists this small RNA (2215 nucleotides) under Rattus norvegicus (Norway rat). Its description in RNAcentral is "uncharacterized LOC108352122". The record is from RNAcentral. Lineage: Eukaryota; Metazoa; Chordata; Mammalia; Rodentia; Muridae.
AGCUCCUGAUGCAGGAUCCUGCCCUGUGUGAGUUCCUGUCCAUGAAGUAUAUGCUGAAUAAACCCUUUCUUCCAGAACUUGCUUUUUUCGUCAAGGUAUGUCAUCAGAAUUACAAACACUAACAGGGACUAUCUCCUUUCCGCUUUGAGGAGUCAGGUGCUGCAAGAAACUGAAAAGCACUCAGGAGAGAGAGAGAGAGAGAGAGAGAGAGAGAGAGAGAGAGAGAGAGAGAGAGAGAGAGAGAGCAGCAGUAGGAAAAAUGAUGAGAGAGAGGAAGAUGUGCGGGGUGGGGCUUGUUCUGAGUGCUUUGGAACCAACUUGUUCUUUAAUUAAGGGAGGGGAAAAAACCCUUACCCUUCAGCUGGUAAAGAUGGCCCUAAGAAAAUUAAAAUGAUGUAAAUUAAGCUAAAUGAACACUCCACAAGUGCCACUAGAGCUCAGUGGGAUCCAGUGUUUGGAUGCCCCAUAUGUUUUAAAAGAGGAGCUGGCAAGUGCUUUCUGCAGCAUGUGACCAAGAGGGAGGCUAGAGGCCCAUGCCAGAUGGGAGUUACAGAGAGUUUAAGGUGACGUCAUCUGUGUUCUGGUUUUCUAUAGACUAGAAAAGAAACAGCCUAAUCAAUGAUGGUGGUGAUUCUCUGACUUCCUUCCUUGGGGUCGCCAAUGCAGAGAAAUCAGCUAAUUUGUAAUUAAAAUAUAUAAAAUAAAAUGUUUCAAAGGGAGUCCAUAGUUCCUAGUGAAAUAAUCUAUUUGCCACAAGGGCAAGGUGUGAUAGAAUAUGUGCGUGUCUGUGUGCAUGCAGGCUAAUAGCAUGUUGAUGGCAACGGGGCAGGAAGAAGCAAUUCCCGAUUUUAAUAGUAGCACAGGAUCACAUGCACACGUGCACAGAACAAUCUGAGCAUUAACUUCUGGUGUCACAUACAAAGAUAUAACCUCCUAAGGGUUCCCCUAAGGCAGGUACGAGAGUGACUGCUUACAAAGGGUAGACCCAGUCCUCAGCGGAAGGUCUGCAAGGUAACACGGGUUUAUUACAUACCAGUGUUCUGAUACUUAGCUAUCACCCUCAAUCGAUAUUGAUAUGGUGAGAUUACACAAGAAGAUUUUACCUCUACCACGACAUGGUGGUAAAAUGUCUUCAAAUCACAACACACAGAAGACUGAGGCAGGAGGAUUGUGAGUCAAGGCUAGCCUGGGCUCCAAAGUGAGACUCUACUUCUAUAAGGCUAUAAGGGAGAUAUGGGUGGACUAUGGGAGACAUGGAUAGACCACACUAACCCUUUAAUUUUCUGGGAAGUGAGAGGCUAAGUGGCUUGCAUCAGGCCGUCUAGACCUAGAGUGACCAUGUGCUUAUCAAUUUGCUCUAAUUUAUUUAAUGUUUGAGUUUUCAUGCAAGUAUAUUUUGUAUGUUCUCUUCCCCCUCCCCCACCUCUCGCUGAAUCUCUAGACAGUUUAAAUUCUACCUCUUGUCAUAUUAUACACAUAUGAUUAUAUGUAUUUCUAUAGAAUCUAGGAACCAUGGAUGAGAGAAAACAUAUGAUAAUUGUUUUCCCAAGACUGGCUUAAUUCACCUGAUGCAAUUCUCCAGUGGCACUAGUUUUCCUGCAGACAACACAACUUUGUUCUUUAGGGCUGAAAAAAAACCCCUUUAAUUGUGUCUAUUUAUAUCAUACUUUCUUUAUCCAUCCCUCUGUUGUCAAGCACUAAGGUUGGUUCUAGAAUUCUGCUAUUAUGAACAGUGUUUGCUGUAAACAUCGAUAUGCAUGUGUCUCUGCGAUCUGUUGACUUGCAGUCCUUGGCAAUCAUUGAACAGACAAGUAACACAGGCUGGUGAGCAGCUGUGCUAGGGGAACCCUUACACACCACUGGUGGAAUGAACACAAAUGUGGUCACUAGUGAGGGUCAUACACAGGUUUCUCAAACCAAGGUACUUCUGAGAGUGAAUGCGGGAGCUGUUACCAUUACUCUAGGUCUGACUGUUGCCAGGGCAACCAGGUGAGGUGAUUGAUUAUUCUGUUUCAACAGCUGGCCUUGGGGGAUGGGAACCAUAGCCUCUUCAUUGCUGCCAUUUGUAAGAAUAGCUCAACAACAGAGGGAUGGAUAAAGAAAGUAUGAGCCUACCUGAAGCAUCCUGUGGUGAACAGAAGAAUAUUUCCAGUCACAUAUGUGGAUGUGCAGUACCACAAAUAGAGUUACUAGAAUAAAUGGGAUUCCUACUGUA